AGAAAGGUGAUACUAUUUUUAUUGGUCAAUAUCUGUUUACAAGAAAUGAAACAACUUCUGUGCGGCGAGGAAUUAGAUCAAGAGAGUAAGAUUCCAUCGCCAAAAGAGUUAAAAAGUAGAUCUUUUGAAGCGAAUAAUAGAGCAGUGUGAUUUUUUUUAUAAUAGAGACUUGAUGUAU
This is a non-coding RNA of Arachis ipaensis, 178 nucleotides long. Lineage: Eukaryota; Viridiplantae; Streptophyta; Magnoliopsida; Fabales; Fabaceae. The record is from RefSeq and is a predicted model, not a curated record.